AACGAACGCUGGCGGCAGGCCUAACACAUGCAAGUCGAGCGAGGACUUCGGUUCUAGCGGCGGACGGGUGCGUAACGCGUGGGAAUGUGCCCUUCUCUACGGAAUAGCUCUGGGAAACUGGGACUAAUACCGUAUACGCCCUACUGGGGAAAGAUUUAUCGGAGAAGGAUCAGCCCGCGUUGGAUUAGGUAGUUGGUGGGGUAAUGGCCUACCAAGCCGACGAUCCAUAGCUGGUUUGAGAGGAUGAUCAGCCACACUGGGACUGAGACACGGCCCAGACUCCUACGGGAGGCAGCAGUGGGGAAUCUUAGACAAUGGGCGCAACCCUGAUCCAGCCAUGCCGCGUGAGUGAUGAAGGCCUUAGGGUUGUAAAGCUCUUUCAGGUGGGAAGAUAAUGACGGUACCAGCAGAAGAAGCCCCGGCUAACUCCGUG
Molecule: ribosomal RNA, 433 nt
Filed under: uncultured bacterium
Lineage: Bacteria
Description: partial 16S ribosomal RNA
Rfam family: Bacterial small subunit ribosomal RNA
Source: RNAcentral